UAUUAUUGGAGGAGACUUGAGUCAAAAGAAAUCUCUCUCUCUCCGCACUCGCGUAGGUGCCUCUUCCGAGUUCCUUCGUCCUGAAAAACCUAAAUCACGACACGCGCCACCACUCCCUAAUCGCACACGCCGCCAAUGGCUAACCCUCCCACGCUGCCGAUCUCAACUGCCCAGGCAACCUCAACGGGCGCGACCCAAUCGCAGCCCCCGAUAGCCACGCCGGCAUUCCGCGCAUUCAUUUCACGCCUGUCGGCGUCGAUCCGAAGUGGCCUCUCUCAACGCCGGCCAUGGUCGGAGCUCAUCGAUCGGACCUCCAUGGCCCGACCGGAGUCCCUAACCGAAGCCUACUCCCGGAUCCGCAAGAAUCUCUCUUACUUCAAGGUGAAUUACGUGACAAUACUGUCAAUCGUACUGGCCCUCUCGCUGCUUUCUCAUCCGUUCUCUCUCCUCGUCCUCCUUGGACUCCUUGCAUCGUGGUUGUUCCUCUACAUCUUCCGGCCCUCCGAUCAGCCCCUUGUCAUCUUCGGCCGUACGUUCUCUGAUCGAGAAACCCUAGGUGCGUUGGUUGUGCUGACCAUUAUUGUCGUGUUUUUGACCAGCGUGGGAUCCCUCCUCAUCUCUGCGUUGAUGGUUGGCCUUGCGAUCGUUUGUCUACAUGGUGCGUUUAGGGUUCCUGAGGAUCUGUUCUUGGACGACCAAGAGCCUGCCAGCGCCGGAUUCCUCUCAUUUCUAGGCGGCGCCGCCUCGUCCGCGGCCGCAGCGGCUGCCCCAGUCGCUGCACGUGUGUAAAACCCGGAGAUCGGAAUCUUGGCCGCACACGUCUUUGUAUUGGGUAAUUGGUUUUUUCCCCCAAAAUUUUGUAUCAGGAGGAGAGUCUUGUUGAGACAUUGAUUUUAAGGUAAUAUACAGUCAGAAUUGGGUAAUGGAGAUGCACUGGGCUUAAGAACGGCACUUAACAGAGAAUAGAUCUUCAUGAGAGCUAUUUUUGUUUCCUGCAUUUUCAUUUUCUCCCAUAUGUCUAGAUUCAAGAGAAGUAAUGUCUUGCUAAAUGGAGGCAGAGAUAAUCAGUUCAUGGUAAUAUAUCCUUGGUUGUUUUAGCAUAUGAUGAAAAUUCACAUGGCUUAUUGAACAAAUUAGAACGUGAUAGUUAUUUGCAGAUUGUGUAUGGAUAGAGUGGGUGUUAUUGAAA
RNA transcript from Carica papaya (papaya), 1189 nucleotides. It is a transcript of the gene named PRA1 family protein B1-like, with no coding region annotated. The record is from RefSeq and is a predicted model, not a curated record. Lineage: Eukaryota; Viridiplantae; Streptophyta; Magnoliopsida; Brassicales; Caricaceae.